AGUGAACGCUGGCGGUAGGCCUAACACAUGCAAGUCGAACGGCAGCACAGUAAGAGCUUGCUCUUACGGGUGGCGAGUGGCGGACGGGUGAGGAAUACAUCGGAAUCUACUUUUUCGUGGGGGAUAACGUAGGGAAACUUACGCUAAUACCGCAUACGACCUACGGGUGAAAGCAGGGGAUCUUCGGACCUUGCGCGAUUGAAUGAGCCGAUGUCGGAUUAGCUAGUUGGCGGGGUAAAGGCACACCAAGGCGACGAUCCGUAGCUGGUCUGAGAGGAUGAUCAGCCACACUGGAACUGAGACACGCUCCAUACUCCUACGGGAGACAGGAGUGGGGAAUAUUGGACAAUGGGCGCAAGCCUAAUCCAGCCAUACCGCGUGGGUGAAGAAGGCCUUCGGGUUGUAAAGCCCUUUUGUUGGGAAAGAAAAGCAGCAGGUUAAUACCCCGCUGUUCUGACGGUACCCAAAGAAUAAGCACCGGCUAACUUCGUG
RNAcentral lists this ribosomal RNA (492 nucleotides) under uncultured bacterium. RNAcentral describes it as "partial 16S ribosomal RNA". It matches the Rfam family "Bacterial small subunit ribosomal RNA", at positions 29 to 507 of the family's 1533-position model. The record is from RNAcentral.